AUGCCUUUUUGUCAAGGUUCUGAUCUGAUAAGGUCAUCAAUUUGGUUUUAAAAUUUUAUAUCAAAAUGGCAUUAUCCUUCUCUGACUUAUGCUAUCAUGGCCUUAAUUCCUAUCUGACUAUAUUUAGGAUAUUUCAGAUAUUGAAUGCCAGGAGGUUGCUGGCCUUGCAGCCUCUAGGUUAAUUAACUUGUCUGAGCAGAAUGUAUGACAACAUCCUAUUGAUGUCUUGUUUGGCUUUUUUUUGAGUCUUCUAAGGUUUAUGCAGCUCAAUAAUGGUUUUAUAGCUAUUGGCUGUUUUUGAACUCUGUCCCUCCCUCGAUAUAUACUGC
This is a non-coding RNA of Pelobates cultripes (western spadefoot toad), 329 nucleotides long. Lineage: Eukaryota; Metazoa; Chordata; Amphibia; Anura; Pelobatidae. The record is from the annotation of a GenBank genome assembly.